CUGACUGUGCAAAGGUAGCAUAAUCAUUUGGCCUAUAAUUGAGGUCUGGUAUGAAUGAAAUUUUGGGUAGUAACUGUCUUAAUAUAUUUUUAAUAAUUUAAUAUGCAAGUGAAAAUACUUGCUUUAAUAUAAAAGACGAGAAGACCCUAGAAACUUAUAUUAUUUUGUUGGGGCGACAGGAUUACAGUUAACUAAUCUUACUUAACGUGACGUUAAACAGUUAGAAAAAGUUACUCUAGGGAUAACAGCAUAAUUUUAAAAGUUUGUGACCUCGAUGUUGGACUAGGUAUACCCCUCUUUAGAAGAGAGAA
Molecule: ribosomal RNA, 311 nt
Filed under: Cornu mazzullii
Lineage: Eukaryota; Metazoa; Mollusca; Gastropoda; Stylommatophora; Helicidae
Description: Erctella mazzullii partial 16S ribosomal RNA
Source: RNAcentral